Molecule: long non-coding RNA, 329 nt
Filed under: Sorghum bicolor (sorghum)
Lineage: Eukaryota; Viridiplantae; Streptophyta; Magnoliopsida; Poales; Poaceae
Description: long non-coding RNA (SBIC_LNC007989)
Source: RNAcentral
GUUGUGUGUGGCGGGCUGGCGGCUCGGCCCUCGCCUAGAUCAGAUGUGACGCUCAGAUGCCGACGGUUCGCGUGAGGUAGCAGGGGUGCGGCGGGUGAGAAGCCUGGCUUCCCACAUCCAGGCCAUCAGAUUUGAUGGAUGUGUUUUUUAGCUCUUGAUUUUAAUGGUGUAGGAUUUUUGUGUGUAUUUCUCUGGGUACAUAGUGGUUAAAAACUCUCAGCGGGGGACGAUUUGGUGGGUGGACCAAGUAUCAUUUAAGUCUUCCAUUAUAGUAGAGAUAAAAAUAUUUAUUAAAAAGUGGUGCAUAUAUAUCUUUAUGAAAGUAUUUU